This is a non-coding RNA of Cricetulus griseus (Chinese hamster), 3786 nucleotides long. NCBI's taxonomy places the organism in Eukaryota, Metazoa, Chordata, Mammalia, Rodentia, Cricetidae. The record is from RefSeq and is a predicted model, not a curated record.
UUACACACACACACACACACACACACACACACACACACGCAUACAACUUACAGAGCCCACUUACUGUUGCUAUUAUGUAUGUGUUUAGGGCUGACCACUUAGGAUUGGAUAACCUCAGGAGGUUCAGACAGAGAGAAAACUGAUUUUCCCUCUUCAACACCCAUUACCUUGACUACCUGUAGCUGUUCGUCAUGGAUAGGGCCUUGUGAGGUUUCCCCAGAUUUACUGGCAUUUUGCCUGGUGUUGUCAUUAUGCAGGUCUUGUUUAAGUGACCAUACUAUGAAGAUUCAUGGGGGCAGCAUCUCCGUCGUGUCUAGAAGACACUAUUUCACAGCAGACGUUUUGGUCUUUGGUCUUUACAAUCUUUUUAUCUUCUCUUCCACAGUCUUCCCUGAGCCUUAGGUGUUGGGCUGUACUGUUCAAAUACUGAUUGGGGCUGGGCACCCCACAAUCACUUCUUCUCUUUUGACCAGUUGGGCAACUUUGCAGUAGCUCCAGAUAAAAUUCUUUGUGAGUUAUUAUCAGUAGAUGUUUGAUUUGUAUGCCCAUUUUAUGCCUUUUCGGGGCAGGAUCACGCGUAAAAUCUUUAGACGAAAGGGGGUUUCAAGGAGUAAAAGUUUUAUAAGCUCCGGUCUGGACACAAGCUGUCUUAUUCACAAGAGCACACACUAUCAACUGUCUGUUCAGAAAGGGUUCACUCCCUAAGGUGCGGUGGCUACGAAGGCCACCAGGAUGUUACAUUCUGCACACAUCCAUCCACGUCGUAACUACACUUGAUUUGCAACAGCAGCCUUCUAGGGCUACAGCUACAAUAGGCUCCAAGCUCUCUCCUUUGUCCCGCAUAGAUCAUUGUAAGGCCAUAUUGUCUUACUCCUCUGUGCAUCCCCAGAUCAUGGCCCAUGAUAACAAUUUACAUCAUGUCUUUUAAAAACUUAAAGUAGUUGUCAUAAUUUGCUUAUCCAUUACUCUGUUUCUGACCUAGUCCGGGACUGAACUGGUUCCUCCUAGUACUCCGAGAACUCAGCUGCCAAGUUCCUCCAUAUUGAAAUGUUCCCUGCUGGAGCGGGGAAGGAGCCGUGAGACUCAGGGAGUUAGCUAACCUUGCAAAUCUUGGAGACUGAAGAGCGCAAGGUUCCCAAGGCCUUCCCCAAUGUGAUAGAGGCAAUAAGAAGUCAUUGAGGAGGAGACCGACUUGCCUGGAGGAGGGGUGCCAAGCUGUCCAGCCAUUGACAGGUUAGCAGAGAGCUCCGGGGAUAUAGCUGUCAUGUGUUGCCACUGGCUGGGUGGUCAUUUUAGAGAGACAGCCAUUAAGCAGCCAUUCACCAAAACUCCCACAAGGAAUCCCAGGGAAUUCAUUACGUAUCAAGUUUGCCUUUGCCAGAAUCAGCUUUGGACUGUCAUUGUUUCCCUAUCUAGGGUGAAGGGACAUUCAUGUUGUCUCUCCCCGGAAAGCCCCACACAACAUUUGUUUAAAGAUCACUUCCUUAAGCACAGUUUCCUUGAUACUAUCAAGGUGUGCUUUCGCUGUUACCAUGGUAGUUCAGAGAGCACCUUAGCUCUCUACUUUAUGGCAAUGUUCAUUUCUUGAUUUUUAUGAUCUGAAAUAGCCAGCGAGGCCCAAGAGAUUGAGAAACACAGGUUCUCUCAUCUUUGGUGCUUCAAUAUAGUACACCUCAGUACACAUGCAAUAAACAUUUCGGGAAUAAAAGAAUUUUGAUUAAUAACAUUUGUGAGACUGAUCUUUCCAUUUCUCUAAUCCUCUACUGGCUACACAGUCACAUCUUGGCAAGUGGCUGGUAUAUUUUUGUUCCCGAAUACAACUCUUCCGAAAGGUUGCCAUCACUGGGUAUUUCUGUCACCUACUGUAUGGACAUGGUGUCUUGGUGAAUCAAAGUCAGGGUGUUUGCUGUAUGUGCAUGCACUAGAGUGCUCUGCGCUCUCUCUCUCUCUCUCUCUCUCUCUCUCUCUCUCUCUCUGCUUCUUCAGGGACUUUGGUUGAUAAAACAGUGGCUUCUUCCACCCGCCCUCCACUGCCCAGAACUGUCUUUUCCAGUUUCGGUAGGAAUGUGUCAGGCAGGUUCUUCAGAGUUUUCUCUCCAGGUAGGAACUCAGACGUUCUUCAGCAUUCUUUUCCUAAUUUAGAUGAACCACUAGAGGGGGCAGUGACGCUCCCUGUUGUACCUCAAUCUUAGGAUAGUAGGGUCAGACAGGCUUUGGGGACCUGGGGCAGACUUCUUCCAUCUGAUAAACCAAGGAACAGAGUGGAAACGGGAAAAACUUUUCCUAAGGCUACAGAGUCAGCUCUUGCUCUCCCCCAACCCCCACAGGAUUCUACAUGGAGCACACUCAUGCUGCCUCAGGGCCUUGAAGGGGGUACUACAGGUUAAACGGACAUGGCUCAUGUGUCACAAGGCUGAUUAACUCAUCCCGAAUUCCCUGGGCUGCCAGUGUGUUUAUCUAAGUGUAUUUUUUAAUGGUCCAUGGGUGGAGCGUGUGUGAGGGAGAGGAAGGAGAAGCAUGUGGUAAUGAAGGUUGUGCUGAGCCUCAACUUUUUUGGAAAAUGAGAUGUGGCGGCCUGUGAUGACUAUUGCCUUUUUUUCUUAGGUGUUAACGUCCUGUCACCCCUUUGCCAGUAACUACCCCCCUCACUUACAGAGGCAUGGGCCGGUGGUGAUGCUGGCUAACCAUAGCUCCCCCAUUCCUCCCUGACAGAGUGAUGGCUUAGGGGAGGGGAUGAACUUCAGGUGGGUCAAUGAGAGGCCUCCUUAGGGUCUUUGAACUCCUAAUCCUCCUGCCUCCAUCUCCCAAUGCUAGGAUUACAAGGGUGUGCCAGCAUGCUUACCAGAGAAGUCUUACUUAAAAGGUAUGUAAGGGAGCUCUGAAGAGACCCAGAGAGACGACCCAGGCAGAGGACAGAGCCCAGGUUCCGCUCCAUCUGCCCGGAGUCUGCCGCACCUCUUACAGUCUCCUAGUUGCCCUGAGUUAUGCCACCUAAUAACAAGCUUGUCAGUUCUUUCUUUUUUAUUCUUCAAAGAUAAUUUGACCCAGAUGCUUGUCAUUCACAGUGAAGAAUUUUGCCAUAACUCUACAGGUUGUUAGAAUUUACCAGAACUAGGUCUGAAAUUGAGUGGAUGGGUUGGAUGGACUGUCAUCACUGAGAAGGGGUCGUUUGAAUGUCACUGGCCUCCAUAAUCUCAUCGGGAGGGGCAGUAUUAGGAGGUGUGGCUUCGUUGGAGUGGGUGUGGCCUUGUUGGAGGAAGUGUGUCACUGUGGGGAUGGGUUUUAAGGUUUUCCUAUGCUCAGGAUAAUGCCCAGUGUCUCAACCGGCUUCCUGUGGCCUGCAAGAUAUAGAACUUUCAGCUACUACGCCAGCACCGUGUCUUCCUGCACACUGCUAUGUUCCCUGCCAUGUUGAUAGUGGACUGAACCUCUGAAACUGCACCAUGAUCUCCAGUUGUCCCAUAAUCCAAACCAGAUAAGCUGAAAUAGCUAAACAGAACAGAACAUGUAGCACCCGCAAACUACGCGUAACAGGAGAGAGCCACCAUCCUUCCAUUCCUGUUCGGAAAGUUCCAGCUAAGCCGAGUGUGCUCAUUUCUGAAAGUUCAGUGCACGGGAAGCUCUUCAGAAUGACGCUCAAAACCCUGCUUUGGAGCAGCAGCUCAGAGCCGUGACACCUAGAGCACUGGACUGCCUCUGAAGCUUCAGCUGAACCACAAAUGCAAGCCAAUGAAGACCUGCCUGACAGCAAUCCCUGGACACCCUGGAAAGAAAAUGGGCCACACC